UGGGGAAUAUUGGACAAUGGGCGAAAGCCUGAUCCAGCCAUGCCGCGUGUGUGAAGAAGGUCUUCGGAUUGUAAAGCACUUUAAGUUGGGAGGAAGGGCAGUAAAUUAAUACUUUGCUGUUUUGACGUUACCGACAGAAUAAGCACCGGCUAACUCUGUGCCAGCAGCCGCGGUAAUACAGAGGGUGCAAGCGUUAAUCGGAAUUACUGGGCGUAAAGCGCGCGUAGGUGGUUUGUUAAGUUGGAUGUGAAAUCCCCGGGCUCAACCUGGGAACUGCAUCCAAAACUGGCAAGCUAGAGUAUGGUAGAGGGUGGUGGAAUUUCCUGUGUAGCGGUGAAAUGCGUAGAUAUAGGAAGGAACACCAGUGGCGAAGGCGACCACCUGGACUGAUACUGACACUGAGGUACGAAAGCGUGGGGAGCAAACAGGAUUAGAUACCCCCGUAGUCCCUGAGCGGGCUGGCAAGGCGCAU
RNAcentral lists this ribosomal RNA (472 nucleotides) under uncultured bacterium. RNAcentral describes it as "bacterial SSU rRNA". It matches the Rfam family "Bacterial small subunit ribosomal RNA", at positions 355 to 825 of the family's 1533-position model. The record is from RNAcentral.